GGAAUAUUGGUCAAUGGGGGCAACCCUGAACCAGCCAUGCCGCGUGCAGGAAGACGGCCCUCCGGGUUGUAAACUGCUUUUAUUCGGGAAUAAACCUUUCUACGUGUAGGAAGCUGAAUGUACCGAAGGAAUAAGGAUCGGCUAACUCCGUGCCAGCAGCCGCGGUAAUACGGAGGAUCCAAGCGUUAUCCGGAUUUAUUGGGUUUAAAGGGUGCGUAGGCGGCCUGUUAAGUCAGGGGUGAAAGACGGUAGCUCAACUAUCGUAGUGCCCUUGAUACUGACGGGCUUGAAUGGACUAGAGGUAGGCGGAAUGUGACAAGUAGCGGUGAAAUGCAUAGAUAUGUCACAGAACACCGAUUGCGAAGGCAGCUUACUAUGGUUUUAUUGACGCUGAGGCACGAAAGCGUGGGGAUCAAACAGGAUUAGAUACCCUUG
RNAcentral lists this ribosomal RNA (435 nucleotides) under uncultured Pedobacter sp. Its description in RNAcentral is "bacterial SSU rRNA". It matches the Rfam family "Bacterial small subunit ribosomal RNA", at positions 358 to 790 of the family's 1533-position model. Lineage: Bacteria; Pseudomonadati; Bacteroidota; Sphingobacteriia; Sphingobacteriales; Sphingobacteriaceae. The record is from RNAcentral.